UAAUAGCUCACUAGUCGAGUGACACUGCGCCGAAAAUGUACCGGGGCUAAACAUAUUACCGAAGCUGUGGAUUGUCCUUUGGACAAUGGUAGGAGAGCGUUCUAAGGGCGUCGAAGCAUGAUCGCAAGGACAUGUGGAGCGCUUAGAAGUGAGAAUGCCGGUGUGAGUAGCGAAAGACGGGUGAGAAUCCCGUCCACCGAUUGACUAAGGUUUCCAGAGGAAGGCUCGUCCGCUCUGGGUUAGUCGGGUCCUAAGCUGAGGCCGACAGGCGUAGGCGAUGGAUAACAGGUUGAUAUUCCUGUACCACCUAGUAUCGUUUUAAUCGAUGGGGGGACGCAGUAGGAUAGGCGAAGCGUGCUGUUGGAGUGCACGUCCAAGCAGUAAGGCUGAGUGUUAGGCAAAUCCGGCACUCAUAAGGCUGAGCUGUGAUGGGGAGAGGAAAUUGUUUCCUCGAGUCGUUGAUUUCACACUGCCGAGAAAAGCCUCUAGAUAGAUAACAGGUGCCCGUACCGCAAACCGACACAGGUAGUCAAGAUGAGAAUUCUAAGGUGAGCGAGCGAACUCUCGUUAAGGAACUCGGCAAAAUGACCCCGUAACUUCGGGAGAAGGGGUGCUCUUUAGGGUUCACGCCCAGAAGAGCCGCAGUGAAUAGGCCCAAGCGACUGUUUAUCAAAAACACAGGUCUCUGCUAAACCGUAAGGUGAUGUAUAGGGGCUGACGCCUGCCCGGUGCUGGAAGGUUAAGAGGAGUGGUUAGCUUCUGCGAAGCUACGAAUCGAAGCCCCAGUAAACGGCGGCCGUAACUAUAACGGUCCUAAGGUAGCGAAAUUCCUUGUCGGGUAAGUUCCGACCCGCACGAAAGGCGUAACGAUUUGGGCACUGUCUCAACGAGAGACUCGGUGAAAUCAUAGUACCUGUGAAGAUGCAGGUUACCCGCGACAGGACGGAAAGACCCCGUGGAGCUUUACUGUAGCCUGAUAUUGAAAUUCGGCACAGCUUGUACAGGAUAGGUAGGAGCCUUUGAAACGUGAGCGCUAGCUUACGUGGAGGCGUUGGUGGGAUACUACCCUAGCUGUGUUGGCUUUCUAACCCGCACCACUUAUCGUGGUGGGAGACAGUGUCAGGCGGGCAGUUUGACUGGGGCGGUCGCCUCCUAAAAGGUAACGGAGGCGCUCAAAGGUUCCCUCAGAAUGGUUGGAAAUCAUUCAUAGAGUGUAAAGGCAUAAGGGAGCUUGACUGCGAGACCUACAAGUCGAGCAGGGUCGAAAGACGGACUUAGUGAUCCGGUGGUUCCGCAUGGAAGGGCCAUCGCUCAACGGAUAAAAGCUACCCCGGGGAUAACAGGCUUAUCUCCCCCAAGAGUUCACAUCGACGGGGAGGUUUGGCACCUCGAUGUCGGCUCAUCGCAUCCUGGGGCUGUAGUCGGUCCCAAGGGUUGGGCUGUUCGCCCAUUAAAGCGGUACGCGAGCUGGGUUCAGAACGUCGUGAGACAGUUCGGUCCCUAUCCGUCGUGGGCGUAGGAAAUUUGAGAGGAGCUGUCCUUAGUACGAGAGGACCGGGAUGGACAUACCUCUGGUGUACCAGUUGUCGUGCCAACGGCAUAGCUGGGUAGCUAUGUAUGGACGGGAUAAGUGCUGAAAGCAUCUAAGCAUGAAGCCCCCCUCAAGAUGAGAUUUCCCAACUUCGGUUAUAAGAUCCCUCGAAGAUGACGAGGUUAAUAGGUUCGAGGUGGAAGCGUGGUGACACGUGGAGCUGACGAAUACUAAUCGAUCGAAGACUUAAUCAAUUUUUAAA
RNAcentral lists this ribosomal RNA (1793 nucleotides) under Staphylococcus epidermidis. RNAcentral's name for it is "bacterial LSU rRNA". It matches the Rfam family "Bacterial large subunit ribosomal RNA", at positions 1135 to 2925 of the family's 2925-position model. Lineage: Bacteria; Bacillati; Bacillota; Bacilli; Caryophanales; Staphylococcaceae. The record is from RNAcentral.